This 519-nucleotide ribosomal RNA is filed under the name uncultured bacterium. Its description in RNAcentral is "partial 16S ribosomal RNA". It matches the Rfam family "Bacterial small subunit ribosomal RNA", at positions 355 to 866 of the family's 1533-position model. The record is from RNAcentral.
UGGGGAAUUUUGGACAAUGGGCGAAAGCCUGAUCCAGCAAUGCUGCGUGUGUGAAGAAGGCCUUCGGGUUGUAAAGCACUUUUGUCCGGAAAGAAAUCCUUGGCUCUAAUACAGUCGGGGAUGACGGUACCGGAAGAAUAAGCACCGGCUAACUACGUGCCAGCAGCCGCGGUAAUACGUAGGGUGCAAGCGUUAAUCGGAAUUACUGGGCGUAAAGCGUGCGCAGGCGGUUUGCUAAGACCGAUGUGAAAUCCCCGGGCUCAACCUGGGAACUGCAUUGGUGACUGGCAGGCUAGAGUAUGGCAGAGGGGGGUAGAAUUCCACGUGUAGCAGUGAAAUGGCGUAGAGAUGUGGAGGAAUACCGAUGGCGAAGGCAGCCCCCUGGGCCAAUACUGACGCUCAUGCACGAAAGCGUGGGGAGCAAAACAGGAUUAGAUACCCUGGUAGUCCACGCCCUAAACGAUGUCAACUAGUUGUUGGGGAUUCAUUUCCUUAGUAACGUAGCUAACGCGUGAAGUU